AUUGAACGCUGGCGGCAUGCCUUACACAUGCAAGUCGAACGGGCUUUGGGGCUUGCUCCAAAGUUAGUGGCGAACGGGUGAGUAAUAUAUCGGAACGUACCCUUGAGUGGGGGAUAACUAAUCGAAAGGUUAGCGAAUAGCGCAUACGAUCUACGGAUGAAAGUGGGGGACCGCAAGGCCUCAUGCUCGUGGAGCGGCCGAUAUCUGAUUAGCUAGUUGGUGGGGUAAAGGCCCGCCAAGGCGACGAUCAGUAGCUGGUCUGAGAGGCCGAUCAGCCACACUGGGACUGAGACCCGGCGCAGACUCCUACAGGAGGGAGCGGGGGGGCAUGGUGGGCAAUUGGCGGAAGCGGGUUCCAGUAAUGCCGCGUGAGUGAAGUAGGCCUUCGUGUUGUAAAGCUCUUUUGUCAGGGAAGAAACGGUGGGGGCUAAUAGCCUCUGCUGAUGACGGUACCUGAAGAAAAAGCACCGGCUAACUACGUGCCAGCCGCCGCAGUAA
Molecule: ribosomal RNA, 498 nt
Filed under: uncultured bacterium
Lineage: Bacteria
Description: partial 16S ribosomal RNA
Rfam family: Bacterial small subunit ribosomal RNA
Source: RNAcentral